Molecule: long non-coding RNA, 2459 nt
Filed under: Homo sapiens (human)
Lineage: Eukaryota; Metazoa; Chordata; Mammalia; Primates; Hominidae
Description: LNC_000430
Source: RNAcentral
CAUGAAAGUAAAUUAAAAAAAAAAACCUUUCAGUCUGGGAAUUGUGUUGAAAUCCAUAAACAUCUGAAACUUAGUGACUCAGAUUGUUAGUCACAGAGUCACUGGUUAGAAUCUGGAUGAAAUCCACUGUGGACAAAGGCCAGUAAUAAUGAUGAUGAUAUUUUGCUUUUCCAUAGUGCCGAACAAAACUCUUUACAAAUGUUACAAGUACAAAAGAAAGAGUAGCAAGACAUUUUUUCUGCAAGUGCUCAGGCUAAGUAAGACUCUUGCUAACUUUGAAGUAGUUUAUUUUUCCCUCUACAUAAAUACAAAAGAAAUGUAGUGGCAAAUAAUUGCAACAAAACCCAACUUAAGCAAAGGCCUCAUUAGUAUUCAAUUAGCAUAGUAACCCGUCUUUCCCGGUCUCUUGUUUGAAGCAGACUGGAUCCAAUGUGUAGUCUUGGAGUAAAGAAAAUAAUAUCUCCAGAGUAGGUCUUACAAAUAAAGCCAAGGCUACACUCAAUUGUGUUUUGUAUUAUUACACUUUCGUUAGUAAUUCACCUUCCACUGAAGAACACACAGAGGGUAGAUCUAAGUUUGUUCUCUUGCAAUAAUGUCAGACCUGAGGAAUAUCAGCAGUAAGCGCUGGGCAGUUUCAGAGAUAUCCUCCCACUAUCUCCCCUUCUGACCGGAACAGGAAUUGGAUAGCUUCAGAGCAAAAGAAUAAUGUGUCCAUGUGUUCCUCCAGAUCUCUGAGUCCUGGCAGUCGACCUCAACUCUCUUGGCCACCAUAAAGCAGUCAUUGAAAGGACACAGCUGCAGGAACUAGGGACUAAGCAGUAAAUAAAUCCACAGGGCUGGAGGCAGAAGUUACGUACAUGACCCUAAAACAAUACUCUGUGGUUAUGAACAAACUGAUUAGCAUCUGAGGGUCCUGUAGCAGCUUAUGCAAAAUUAAUUGGUGCCUCAGCCAGUGCUGAGUUUCUAAAGGAAAGAUGUCCACUUCAAAAACAAAAACAAAAAAAGGGGGGCCUCCUUAGUCAGCAGCAACUUUGCCUGGUGUCCUGGGGAGACGAUCAGCUAGAAUGGGAAUGGAGCUGUUUAUUCUCUUAGCUGUACAUGGAUUCUCUUCAGAUCAGAGCUGAUGUAUAACAGCCACUGGCAAUAUCCCAAGACAUGAUCCAGUGAUUGCCAGGUUAUGGGUUGCAUCUUAGAGUUAAGGUGAGAGGAGCUUGGGAAAGAGGUUGAGAGAUGUGGCUUGAGAGUGGGAGAGAUGGAGAAAGUAAAAGAAAUUGGACACUGAUCUACAUAGAGCAACACUUCCCUAAUUGGUUUUGGCUCCAACUCAGGCAGACUCAGCUUUAAAACCAGACUCCACCACCUACCACCUGAUUUUGACCGUGAGCAAGUUUCUUACUUUCUUUGCUUUAUUUUUCGUAUCUGUUCAAUGGAGAUCAUGCCAGUUCCUGCUUCUUAGGGUUACUGUGAGGAUUAAAGAAAAUAAUGUAUACAGAGUGCUGAGUACCUAAGGAGUGCUCAAAACCUUUUACCCAAUAUUAAAAUAGAAUUAUUGUAGUGGAAUUCCUGGUCAGUCAGAAGUUCUGUGUUAUUAAUGAUGAACAGGUCAGUUAGCAGUUUUAAAAAAUAAACCUACAAUCUGUAAAAGCUUCAUCAUGUAGAUGAGCUAACACGCUCCCAUGAAAUUAUAUUUAUGUCUUGCGUUAUCAACUCGUUCUAUACAUGUUAUAUCAUAUAUUUAUAUGUGAGUAUGUAAAACAAAAGUAAAUUACAAGAAUAUCUCUGUCUAGUUAGUAUAAAUAGUGAUGGGUUCUGAAUUAAGAGCCCCAUUUUUUAAAUUAUUGCUUUACUAUUUUUAUCUUACAUUAGGAAGAAAAUAUUAGUCUGAUUUGAUGCCCUUAAUGUUUGGAAUAUAAAGGACAACAACACACAUUAACUUCAAAAUCAAUGAAUAUACUUAAAAUAAGCUCUAUAGCAAACAUAACUACAUCACUAAAUCUCAAUAUUUAUAGUUUAUUUCUAAGGAACAAAUGUAAAUGGAUCGAAUUUUAAAAAUCAUUUAAACAUUUUUCUAAGUGUCUGUAAAAAGGAUUAGAAGAAGUGUAACAUACAUGUUGAAAGAUUGUCCCUCAAUGCAGAAGUGGGCAUUGAAUUUGGCACUUGGUUUGAAGCAGUUUUCUCUUUCCAUAGCCAUUGUAUAUGCCAUUCGGUUACUGUGGUCAGUGGUUUUCUUGCCUUAGAACUCACUUUACCUUAGAUUCUCUUCUGCGUCUUAGCUCAGCAAAAUGAUCAUGAUCCUUCUGAACCUAAAGCUCAGGCCAACAUUGUCAUUAUCUCAAUUUGUCUCUUGGCUUGAGAAAGAACUUUCAGAUUCUCUUCAGUUCAUAUCAAACACACAAAGCAAACAACCCUAAAAGUCACACACACAGGUGAGAACUUUUCAACACACUUUAAAUUAAGGC